UACCUUCAUCCCAUCUGAUGGCGGGACUCAGCCCAGGGAUAAUUCUGUGCCCCUGUGAGACAGCUUAGAUGGUGACAAGCUACAGAUAUUGAAGCCAGUGGGACCUGGGUUUGAAGUCUGACUCUGCCAUUUAGUGAAAGACCUUGAGCAAAACUCACUGGCCCUGGAGCCAAUCUUGAGCAGAGCCUAUAAGGCAGAAGGAUCCAGACUCUGAAUAACCAGACAUGCCUGCAGGAGACCAUAUCAGUUGGCCACCUACCACCCCCAGCCCAGAGGGAGAAAGAGAAUCCCUGCAGCCCCAGGGAAAAGCCCCUGGGAAGCUACUACCCAGAGGAUGUCCAGAGCCCCCAGCUUUUCUACUUGUCUGCACAUAUUAAGAAAGGACGGACGACACGCAGAGGAGAGCCACUUUUACAGACAGAUGAUUAUAAUAAAAUACUGACCCCAGUUUUAACUGGAUGUGUUGCCUCCUGAG
Pan troglodytes (chimpanzee) is the source of this 475-nucleotide long non-coding RNA. RefSeq lists it as uncharacterized. Lineage: Eukaryota; Metazoa; Chordata; Mammalia; Primates; Hominidae. The record is from RefSeq and is a predicted model, not a curated record. The transcript is spliced from 3 exons.